Non-coding RNA from Pseudophryne corroboree (corroboree frog), 138 nucleotides. RefSeq annotates it as small Cajal body-specific RNA 11. The transcript has a single exon. NCBI's taxonomy places the organism in Eukaryota, Metazoa, Chordata, Amphibia, Anura, Myobatrachidae. The record is from RefSeq and is a predicted model, not a curated record.
UCGUCCUACCCACAUGACAGACAUUCCCCCUUUCAUGCCUAUGAUUGUGGGGGCCACGGUUGGACGUACAGUAAACCUGUCUGUUUAGGAGGGCUGCACACAGAUAGGUGCUCUCCCUUAAAGGCUUGACAGAACAUG